GACGGGACCCCGCACAAGCAGUGGAGCAUGUGGUUUAAUUCGAUGCAACGCGAAGAACCUUACCUGGGCUUGACAUCCCGAGAAUCCCCUGGAAACAGGGGAGUGCCUUUCGGGGAACUCGGAGACAGGUGCUGCAUGGCUGUCGUCAGCUCGUGUCGUGAGAUGUUGGGUUAAGUCCCGCAACGAGCGCAACCCUUGUCUUUAAUUGCCAGCAUUCAGUUGGGCACUUUAAAGAGACUGCCGGUGUUAAGCCGGAGGAAGGUGGGAUGACGUCAAGUCCUCAUGGCCUUUAUGCCCAGGGCUACACACGUGCUACAAUGGGUGGUACAAAGAGAUGCCAACUCGCGAGAGCGCGCCAAUCUCAGAAAGCCAUCCUCAGUUCGGAUUGGAGUCUGCAACUCGACUCCAUGAAGUUGGAAUCGCUAGUAAUCGCGGAUCAGCACGCCGCGGUGAAUACGUUCCCGGGCCUU
RNAcentral lists this ribosomal RNA (470 nucleotides) under uncultured Syntrophus sp. Its description in RNAcentral is "bacterial SSU rRNA". It matches the Rfam family "Bacterial small subunit ribosomal RNA", at positions 912 to 1382 of the family's 1533-position model. Lineage: Bacteria; Pseudomonadati; Thermodesulfobacteriota; Syntrophia; Syntrophales; Syntrophaceae. The record is from RNAcentral.